RNAcentral lists this ribosomal RNA (450 nucleotides) under uncultured bacterium. RNAcentral describes it as "partial 16S ribosomal RNA". It matches the Rfam family "Bacterial small subunit ribosomal RNA", at positions 354 to 796 of the family's 1533-position model. The record is from RNAcentral.
GUGGGGAAUUUUGGACAAUGGGCGCAAGCCUGAUCCAGCAAUGCCGCGUGCAGGAAGAAGGCCUUCGGGUUGUAAACUGCUUUUGUCAGGGAAGAAAUCUUCUGGGCUAAUACCCCGGGAGGAUGACGGUACCUGAAGAAUAAGCACCGGCUAACUACGUGCCAGCAGCCGCGGUAAUACGUAGGGUGCGAGCGUUAAUCGGAAUUACUGGGCGUAAAGCGUGCGCAGGCGGCUUUGCAAGACAGAUGUGAAAUCCCCGGGCUCAACCUGGGAACUGCAUUUGUGACUGCAAGGCUAGAGUACGGCAGAGGGGGAUGGAAUUCCGCGUGUAGCAGUGAAAUGCGUAGAUAUGCGGAGGAACACCAAUGGCGAAGGCAAUCCCCUGGGCCUGUACUGACGCUCAUGCACGAAAGCGUGGGGAGCAAACAGGAUUAGAAACCCCUGUAGUCC